RNAcentral lists this ribosomal RNA (253 nucleotides) under uncultured bacterium. RNAcentral's name for it is "partial 16S ribosomal RNA". It matches the Rfam family "Bacterial small subunit ribosomal RNA", at positions 524 to 776 of the family's 1533-position model. The record is from RNAcentral.
CACGUAGGGUGCGAGCGUUGUCCGGAAUUAUUGGGCGUAAAGAGCUCGUAGGCGGCUUGUCGCGUCGACUGUGAAAACUUGGGGCUCAACCCCAAGCUUGCAGUCGAUACGGGCAGGCUAGAGUUCGGUAGGGGAGACUGGAAUUCCUGGUGUAGCGGUGAAAUGCGCAGAUAUCAGGAGGAACACCGAUGGCGAAGGCAGGUCUCUGGGCCGAUACUGACGCUGAGGGGCGAAAGCGUGGGGAGCGAACAGG